AUUGAACGCUGGCGGCAUGCCUUACACAUGCAAGUCGAACGGCAGCGCGGACUUCGGUCUGGCGGCGAGUGGCGAACGGGUGAGUAAUACAUCGGAACGUACCCUGUUGUGGGGGAUAACUAGUCGAAAGAUUAGCUAAUACCGCAUACGACCUGAGGGUGAAAGUGGGGGACCGCUAGGCCUCACGCAGCAGGAGCGGCCGAUGUCUGAUUAGCUAGUUGGUGGGGUAAAGGCCCACCAAGGCGACGAUCAGUAGCUGGUCUGAGAGGACGAUCAGCCACACUGGGACUGAGACACGGCCCAGACUCCUACGGGAGGCAGCAGUGGGGAAUUUUGGACAAUGGGGGCAACCCUGAUCCAGCAAUGCCGCGUGUGUGAAGAAGGCCUUCGGGUUGUAAAGCACUUUUGUCCGGAAAGAAAUGGCUCUGGUUAAUACCUGGGGUCGAUGACGGUACCGGAAGAAUAAGGACCGGCUAACUACGUGCCAGCCGCCGCCGAAA
Molecule: ribosomal RNA, 500 nt
Filed under: uncultured bacterium
Lineage: Bacteria
Description: partial 16S ribosomal RNA
Rfam family: Bacterial small subunit ribosomal RNA
Source: RNAcentral